UGAGGUGAAUCUGUGGGACAGAGCCCUCAUGGAGCUUUCCGUAAAGCAGCUGGCAGCUUCAAGGGCAAAGUGGAAGUACCCAGGGAAUGUGGUGAACUGGAACCAGCUGGUAGCUAAAAAACCUCCCAUGGUGCAGAUCAGAUCUCCAAGCAAAGACCCAGGUGCUGCCUUCUUGUGGUUUGGCAUCCUCCGGCUCAGAGGAAAAAAAUCAGUUUUGUGUGCAGAUCCAGAGCAGUCCCUGAUUUACAUUGAACCUGUGUCGAAUGAGUGCCUCAAACAUGCUUUCUGGGGGCUGCAGCAGAAUGGACGACUCCGUAAUGUUGCAAACCCUUCAUCUUGUGUCAUGGUAAAUGGAA
RNAcentral lists this long non-coding RNA (356 nucleotides) under Salvator merianae (Argentine black and white tegu). RNAcentral describes it as "lncRNA (ENSSMRG00000000535.1)". The record is from RNAcentral. Lineage: Eukaryota; Metazoa; Chordata; Lepidosauria; Squamata; Teiidae.